Non-coding RNA from Girardinichthys multiradiatus, 691 nucleotides. The record is from the annotation of a RefSeq genome assembly. Lineage: Eukaryota; Metazoa; Chordata; Actinopteri; Cyprinodontiformes; Goodeidae.
AAAGGUUUUUGUCUGAGGUCACGGUGAGUUUGUAUCACUGUGGCACACAUUCGGAGGAGGAACCAGACUUGAAGUUAACUUGGGUCAAGUGCCACCAUCACUGAUGGUUGUACCCCCCUCCAGUGAGGAGUUGCAACAGGGGAAGGCCACCCUCAUGUGUCUGGCCAACAAGGGCUUCCCCUCAGGCUGGAGUCUGUCCUGGAAGGUGGACGGCGGCAGCAGCAGCAGCAGCUGGAAGCAGAGCAGGAGCCCCGGGGUGCUGCAGAAGGACGGCCUCUACAGCUGGAGCAGCACCCUGAGGCUCCCUGCAGACCAGUGGAGGAAGGUGGGCUCUGUGACCUGUGAGGCCACCCAGGGCUCCCAGACUGCAGUCACAGAGUCCCUGAGGAGAGACCAGUGUUCCCAGUCCUGAGCAGAUUCACUAGAAUUAUUGCUUUGUCUGUGUUCCUUAAGAUUUGUUUAGUUUUAUUUGUACCCAGUAGUUCUUGGAAAGCUGUUUCAACAUGAAUUUUCAUUUGCUUUCAUUACUUUCAAAAAUAAAUCUCUUUGCACAAGUGCUUCAGAGAAAACCUUCAAUAAACAUAAUCUGAAAACUGUUCUUGUGUGAAUUUACCAUAUGUUUAGGACAAAGUCUAAAAUGCAUUUUAUUUUCCACAUUGAUCAAAAUCAAUUUAUUAAACACAUAAUCCUA